RNAcentral lists this ribosomal RNA (433 nucleotides) under uncultured bacterium. RNAcentral describes it as "partial 16S ribosomal RNA". It matches the Rfam family "Bacterial small subunit ribosomal RNA", at positions 29 to 507 of the family's 1533-position model. The record is from RNAcentral.
AACGAACGCUGGCGGCAUGCCUAACACAUGCAAGUCGAACGAGACCUUCGGGUCUAGUGGCGCACGGGUGCGUAACGCGUGGGAACCUGCCCUUAGGUUCGGCAUAACUCCCCGAAAGGGGUGCUAAUACCGGAUAAUGUCUUCGGACCAAAGAUUUAUCGCCUUUGGAUGGGCCCGCGUUGGAUUAGCUAGUUGGUAGGGUAAAAGCCUACCAAGGCGACGAUCCAUAGCUGGUCUGAGAGGAUGAUCAGCCACACUGGGACUGAGACACGGCCCAGACUCCUACGGGAGGCAGCAGUGGGGAAUAUUGGACAAUGGGCGAAAGCAUGAUCCAGCAAUGACGCGUGAGUGAUGAAGGCAUUAGGGUUGUAAAGCUCUUUUACCCGGGAUGAUAAUGACAGUACCGGGAGAAUAAGCUCCGGCUAACUCCGUG